AUUGAACGCUGGCGGCAUGCCUUACACAUGCAAGUCGAACGGCAGCACGGGAGCAAUCCUGGUGGCGAGUGGCGAACGGGUGAGUAAUAUAUCGGAACGUGCCCAGUCGUGGGGGAUAACGUAGCGAAAGCUACGCUAAUACCGCAUACGAUCUAUGGAUGAAAGCGGGGGAUUGCAAGACCUCGCGCGAUUGGAGCGGCCGAUAUCAGAUUAGGUAGUUGGUGAGGUAAAGGCUCACCAAGCCGACGAUCUGUAGCUGGUCUGAGAGGACGACCAGCCACACUGGGACUGAGACACGGCCCAGACUCCUACGGGAGGCAGCAGUGGGGAAUUUUGGACAAUGGGCGCAAGCCUGAUCCAGCAAUGCCGCGUGCAGGAUGAAGGCCUUCGGGUUGUAAACUGCUUUUGUACGGAACGAAACGGUGAGCUCUAAUACAGUUUGCUAAUGACGGUACCGUAAGAAUAAGCACCGGCUAACUACGUG
This 484-nucleotide ribosomal RNA is filed under the name uncultured bacterium. RNAcentral's name for it is "bacterial SSU rRNA". It matches the Rfam family "Bacterial small subunit ribosomal RNA", at positions 30 to 507 of the family's 1533-position model. The record is from RNAcentral.